UACGAAGGGGGGCUAGCGUUGUUCGGAAUCCCUGGGCGUAAAGCGCCCGCAGGCGGGUCGUUAAGCCAGGGGUGAAAUCCCGAGGCUCAACCUCGGAACUGCCUUUGAUACUGGCGAUCUUUGAGUCCGGGAGAGGUGAGUGGAACUCCGAGUGUAGAGGUGAAAUUCGUAGAUAUUCGGAAGAACACCAGUGGCGAAGGCGGCUCACUGGCCCGGUACUGACGCUCAUGUGCGAAAGCGUGGGGAGCAAACAGG
RNAcentral lists this ribosomal RNA (255 nucleotides) under uncultured bacterium. Its description in RNAcentral is "partial 16S ribosomal RNA". It matches the Rfam family "Bacterial small subunit ribosomal RNA", at positions 524 to 776 of the family's 1533-position model. The record is from RNAcentral.